Molecule: transfer RNA, 95 nt
Filed under: Pasteurella multocida
Lineage: Bacteria; Pseudomonadati; Pseudomonadota; Gammaproteobacteria; Pasteurellales; Pasteurellaceae
Description: tRNA-Met
Rfam family: tRNA
About the family: Transfer RNA (tRNA) molecules are approximately 80 nucleotides in length. Their secondary structure includes four short double-helical elements and three loops (D, anti-codon, and T loops).
Source: RNAcentral
CGCGGGGUGGAGCAGCUUGGUAGCUCGUCGGAGCUUGGUAGCUCGUCGGGCUCAUAACCCGAAGGCCGUCGGUUCAAAUCCGGCCCCCGCAACCA